GCCGGUAUAGCUCAGUUGGUAGAGCUGCGCAUUCGUAAUGCGAAGGUCAGGAGUUCGAUUCCCCUUAUCGGCACCA
RNAcentral lists this transfer RNA (76 nucleotides) under Aeromonas jandaei. RNAcentral's name for it is "tRNA-Thr". It matches the Rfam family "tRNA". Rfam says of the family: Transfer RNA (tRNA) molecules are approximately 80 nucleotides in length. Their secondary structure includes four short double-helical elements and three loops (D, anti-codon, and T loops). The record is from RNAcentral. Lineage: Bacteria; Pseudomonadati; Pseudomonadota; Gammaproteobacteria; Aeromonadales; Aeromonadaceae. RNAcentral also lists the same sequence under 1 other name.